UUUUGACCUCGCGUGCGGUUUACUUCCAAACAGACGUUUACCUUUUUGGAAAAAGUGCGCGCUCCACUCGCUUCUCCACCGCUGUGAUCCUCCUGUCGGCUUCAAAAUGGCGCCAAUUUGUCCCUAUCUGCACCAGUCAGUGCAGCUCUGCUCAACACAGACGCUUCUCCCUCCUCCUCCACUCGCGGUUAUUUAUUUAACAGCAUAACUGCGUGCUUUGAGAUUAUAUUGGCAGUUUUGCUGUUAGAAACAGAAACAAGUUGCUGUAAUAGUGACGGAAAUGGCUUGUGUAAAAGCGAGCGUUUGUGUGGAGUCGCGGGCAGGUUGGAGUGUGGUGUAACAGCGACUCCUACAGGACAUGAGAAGAAUAACAGCCAGUCUCCGCCUUCAUUUGACAGUCGUGUGCAUCCCCAAGGAGAGCAGAAUCAAAUGCAUAUCUGUUGUCUU
RNAcentral lists this long non-coding RNA (447 nucleotides) under Danio rerio (zebrafish). RNAcentral describes it as "si:dkey-26o16.7 (ENSDARG00000099206.2)". The record is from RNAcentral. Lineage: Eukaryota; Metazoa; Chordata; Actinopteri; Cypriniformes; Danionidae.